CCCCCCCCCCCCCCCCCCCGGGCAGAUCCCGAGCGGAUCCCGGCGGCGGGGCCGCGAUCAGCACCACGGACAGCGCCCGGCGGCGCCUCCCCGGCGGGGCUGGAGCGGGACACGGAACCGGGAACCGGGAACCGGCAAACCGGCGCGGGCGGGCAGGACCCUCCGGGACAUCACCGGCCGCCCAGAGCCAGCACGGACUGCUCGCCAGGCCAGGAUCUCAUAGAUGGAUCCAACCCAGAGGUCUCUGAAGAACAGGGGACUCAGGGCAAACUGUGCAGGAGCCGGGGAUGAACCCGCAGGUUCCCGGGAGGAAUCCCCAGGGCCCAGCAGGAGGCAUUAACAGCACGUCUCUCCAGCGAGCCGUGAUGGGAAGAGAACGGAGCAAAAAAAAGAGAGAACUGGAGAACCGAUCUCUCGAAGGAUCCUGGCUGGCAGCAAUAUCAGCAUCUGACUGA
Molecule: long non-coding RNA, 455 nt
Filed under: Ficedula albicollis (Collared flycatcher)
Lineage: Eukaryota; Metazoa; Chordata; Aves; Passeriformes; Muscicapidae
Description: lncRNA (ENSFALG00000028549.1)
Source: RNAcentral